This 794-nucleotide ribosomal RNA is filed under the name uncultured microorganism. RNAcentral describes it as "bacterial SSU rRNA". It matches the Rfam family "Bacterial small subunit ribosomal RNA", at positions 59 to 831 of the family's 1533-position model. The record is from RNAcentral.
CAGUCGAACGCGAAAGUCCCGCAAGGGAUAAGUAGAGUGGCAAACGGGUGAGUAACACGUGGGUGACCUGCCUUCGAGCGGGGGAUAACGUCCCGAAAGGGACGCUAAUACCGCAUGACAUCCUGCCUUUGAAGAGGCGGAGAUCAAAGCCGGGGAUUCGCAAGAACCUGGCACUCGAUGAGGGGCCCGCGUCUGAUUAGCUAGUUGGUGGGGUAAUGGCUCACCAAGGCAACGAUCAGUAUCCGGCCUGAGAGGGCGGACGGACACACUGGGACUGAGACACGGCCCAGACUCCUACGGGAGGCAGCAGUGGGGAAUUGUUCGCAAUGGGCGCAAGCCUGACGACGCAACGCCGCGUGGAGGACGAAGACCUUCGGGUCGUAAACUCCUUUCGAUCGAGACGAAUGGCCUUCGGGUGAAUAAUCCGGAGGAGUGACGGUACCGAGAGAAGAAGCCCCGGCUAACUCCGUGCCAGCAGCCGCGGUAAUACGGGGGGGGCAAGCGUUGUUCGGAAUUACUGGGCGUAAAGGGCUCGUAGGUGGCCAACUAAGUCAGACGUGAAAUCCCUCGGCUUAACCGGGGAACUGCGUCUGAUACUGGAUGGCUUGAGUUUGGGAGAGGGAUGCGGAAUUCCAGGUGUAGCGGUGAAAUGCGUAGAUAUCUGGAGGAACACCGGUGGCGAAGGCGGCAUCCUGGACCAACACUGACACUGAGGAGCGAAAGCCAGGGAGCAAACGGGAUUAGAUACCCCGGUAGUCCUGGCCCUAAACGAUGAAUGCUUGGUGUGACGGGUA